AUGAUUAGUUAUGCAAAUGAAUUUGGCAGGCAUGGAUGUAUAUGUGGAGAGAGCUUGCAAAAAAUAAUGGGAAGAAGAAUACCUAUCAGAGUCUCUCCGAUGGAGCUUCAGAAAAAAACAACUGUUUUGCAGGGCAGAUUAGGACAGAAGCUUGGCAUGGUAUUUGUUGAAACAAGGUUGGAGAAAAUGGACAGCAUUACACUAAAAAAUUGGGCUGUUAUUGGAUUAAAACAGUGCUGGAAAAUGGGCAGCAUUGAGACAGUUUUGUAG
Molecule: non-coding RNA, 270 nt
Organism: Vicia faba (fava bean)
Lineage: Eukaryota; Viridiplantae; Streptophyta; Magnoliopsida; Fabales; Fabaceae
Source: the annotation of a GenBank genome assembly